GGAUGGGUUCUAUGGUAUAGAUAAAAUUUUGCAAAAGUUUUAUUGAGUUUGUCUCUCCAUCUU
This 63-nucleotide transfer RNA is filed under the name Gigantolina magna. RNAcentral's name for it is "tRNA-Cys". Lineage: Eukaryota; Metazoa; Platyhelminthes; Cestoda; Amphilinidea; Amphilinidae. The record is from RNAcentral.